ACGGGUGAGUAACACGUAUCCAACCUGCCGUCUACUCUUGACAGCCUUCUGAAGGAAGAUUAAUACAAGAUGGCAUCAUGAGUCCGCAUGUUCACAUGAUUAAAGGUAUUCCGGUAGACGAUGGGGAUGCGUUCCAUUAGAUAGUAGGCGGGGUAACGGCCCACCUAGUCUUCGAUGGAUAGGGGUUCUGAGAGGAAGGUCCCCCACAUUGGAACUGAGACACGGUCCAA
RNAcentral lists this ribosomal RNA (230 nucleotides) under uncultured bacterium. RNAcentral's name for it is "partial 16S ribosomal RNA". It matches the Rfam family "Bacterial small subunit ribosomal RNA", at positions 102 to 334 of the family's 1533-position model. The record is from RNAcentral.